Molecule: non-coding RNA, 86 nt
Organism: Paramuricea clavata
Lineage: Eukaryota; Metazoa; Cnidaria; Anthozoa; Malacalcyonacea; Plexauridae
Source: the annotation of a GenBank genome assembly
GCCUUGACACAUUAUAAUAAAAGUCCAGUAUUGACCAAUCAUGGUAAAGAGCAAUACUGGACUUUUAUUAUAAUGUGUCGAGGCGU